This 356-nucleotide ribosomal RNA is filed under the name Scintillona bellerophon. RNAcentral's name for it is "partial 16S ribosomal RNA". It matches the Rfam family "Bacterial large subunit ribosomal RNA", at positions 1862 to 2515 of the family's 2925-position model. Lineage: Eukaryota; Metazoa; Mollusca; Bivalvia; Galeommatida; Galeommatidae. The record is from RNAcentral.
CCCGGUGAGUAUAAUCUUAAACGGCCGCAGUUAGAAGCUGUGCUAAGGUAGCGUAAUAAUUUGUCCUUUAAUUAAGGAAAGGCAUGAAUGGUUUGACGUAAGGGCUUCUGUCUCUGGGGCAUUUUAAAAAGUUUUCUUCCCGGUGAAAAGGCUGGGGAAGUAAUAAAAGACGAGAAGUCCCUGUCGAGCUUAAUUAUUCUCUUGUACUGAAACAUUGAGAAAAAAUUUGGUUGGGGCAACUAAGGAGCAAAAAAAGACUCCUUUAAUGGUCAUAGAGCCAAAAAGUUUGAUAACAGGAAAAAGCUACCGCAGGGAUAACAGCGUUAUCUUCCUUGAGAGAACAAAUUGAAGGGGAG